UGGCUCAGAACGAACGCUGGCGGCAGGCUUAACACAUGCAAGUCGAACGGGCACUUCGGUGUCAGUGGCAGACGGGUGAGUAACACGUGGGAACGUACCCUUUGGUUCGGAAUAACCCUGGGAAACUAGGGCUAAUACCGGAUACGGCCGUGAGGCGAAAGGUUGACUGCCGGAGGAUCGGCCCGCGUCCGAUUAGCUAGUUGGUUGGGGUAAUGGCUCACCAAGGCGACGAUCGGUAGCUGGUCUGAGAGGAUGACCAGCCACAUUGGGACUGAGACACGGCCCAAACUCCUACGGGAGGCAGCAGUGGGGAAUAUUGGACAAUGGGCGCAAGCCUGAUCCAGCCAUGCCGCGUGAGUGAUGACGGCCUUAGGGUUGUAAAGCUCUUUUACCUGGGAAGAUAAUGACGGUACCAGGAGAAUAAGCCCCGGCUAACUUCGUGCCAGCCGCCGC
This 453-nucleotide ribosomal RNA is filed under the name uncultured bacterium. Its description in RNAcentral is "bacterial SSU rRNA". It matches the Rfam family "Bacterial small subunit ribosomal RNA", at positions 20 to 518 of the family's 1533-position model. The record is from RNAcentral.